GAAAAUGUUCACCAUCUUCCCCACACUUUUAACUCUCUGUAUUCAUUCCUUCAAAGGAACUCACACGGAGAACUAUGACAGGAAAAUUUUCGAAAGAAAAGUCUCAAAAAAGGAACCAACUACCAUUCUUCAACUUCAGUCGUGGCUUAUAACAGAAUCAUGAAUCACACAGGUCCAAUAUAGAAACUGUUUGUUAGGGGUGAACAACAGAGGUACCGCUAAACAACUAGGAUUACUAUUGAAACAGAGAACACGGAAUGUCACCAGAGCUGUACCUGAGGACGUCUGAAGUCUGAUUUGAGUCAAGUGGGUGGGAGUGUUUGCUGUGAAGCAGCUCGUCAGAUUGCACUGAAGGCACGUGGAGGUGCAAAGAGGCCUAAAAGCAUCUUGAAGAACUGGCUGAAGAGAGAGGAGCAUUCGAAGUAUAUCCUGCGAACACUGCAUACUCAUAUCUACAACCAUUAAAAAAAAAAGUGAGUAAUAAUUGCU
Molecule: long non-coding RNA, 489 nt
Organism: Peromyscus eremicus (cactus mouse)
Lineage: Eukaryota; Metazoa; Chordata; Mammalia; Rodentia; Cricetidae
Exons: 3
Source: RefSeq, a predicted model, not a curated record